AGAGCGAACGCUGGCGGCAGGCCUAAUACAUGCAAGUCGAGCGGUCCCUUCGGGGGCAGCGGCGGACGGGUGAGUAACGCGUGGGAACGUGCCCUUUGGUACGGAACAACUGAGGGAAACUUCAGCUAAUACCGUAUGUGCCCUUCGGGGGAAAGAUUUAUCGCCAUUGGAGCGGCCCGCGUUGGAUUAGGUAGUUGGUGAGGUAAAGGCUCACCAAGCCUACGAUCCAUAGCUGGUCUGAGAGGAUGAUCAGCCACACUGGGACUGAGACACGGCCCAGACUCCUACGGGAGGCAGCAGUAGGGGAUCUUGCGCAAUGGGCGAAAGCCUGACGCAGCCAUGCCGCGUGAAUGAUGAAGGUCUUAGGAUUGUAAAAUUCUUUCACCGGGGACGAUAAUGACGGUACCGAGAAGAAGCCCGGCUAACUCGUGCCAGCAGCCGC
RNAcentral lists this ribosomal RNA (442 nucleotides) under uncultured soil bacterium. RNAcentral's name for it is "bacterial SSU rRNA". It matches the Rfam family "Bacterial small subunit ribosomal RNA", at positions 26 to 518 of the family's 1533-position model. The record is from RNAcentral.